Cyprinus carpio carpio is the source of this 1037-nucleotide long non-coding RNA. The record is from Ensembl. NCBI's taxonomy places the organism in Eukaryota, Metazoa, Chordata, Actinopteri, Cypriniformes, Cyprinidae.
GAAGUUCAAGGCUUCUAGCAGAGAACCAAGAGGAUGAGCAUAGAUCAUAUGAUCAAAAAAACGUUUAAAGGAUAUACAUUUAAUUUUGGGGUGUAAACUGUCCCUUUAAGACUUAUUUAAGUGAGCUGUACUGUUACUUUUCUAGGUGAUUAGAGUUAUAAUUUACGCACAGGAGAUUCAAACAUCAGGAACAACCAUCAGCCAUAUCCAGAGAUCAGAGUACCAUGGAGACUUGGACUCUUGAUUUUUGGAUCAGUAAGCAACCACGCAAAACACCUCAGCAACCACAAAGCAACACCCUGGCAUAUUAGCAGUAAGUUUUGCACGGGCAAACAUCCAGUUAGAAUGACUGAUACAUGUUUUUAGUCAUCAAUACUUAAAAAAAAAAAAUUUAUAGAAUAUAAUUAAUUGGAUCUUAAACUUUUUUUUUUUCAUUUAUUUAUUUAUUUAUGUUUGUUUUCGUAAAGUGCCCUGUAUAUUAUAGCUAACUGUUUUUAAUUGGCAGAGCUGGCAGUGCUUUGUACAUCCCAGCAACUGGUGAGUAUUGCACUCUAAAAAGCCAUGGAUUUUCUGUCUAUCUUGCUAGUGUUUUUAUGUACACAUCAGACUGUAUAACUGUGAGGACACAUAAUAUGCUUCCUCUUCCCUGCCAGACCUGAGUGAGGGACCUGUUUGUGUGCCAUGAGAACAAUGGAACAAAAGCUACAUCCCCAGCCCCCAACCAAAAGCGGCAGAAAGCAAGGCUUCUGUUCUCCUGUGAAGGCUUUGGAACAUGGAUGCAGGUAUUUGGUCCUAUUUAGACACUAAGGUCAGGCAGCGAUGUUAGAUCACAUUCAUUGUUCCAGUUCAUCCCUGAGGAUUUCAGGUCUGGAUUUUGUGAAGGUCAGUCAAGUCUCGUUCAGUAAAUAAUUUUUUGAUAAACCUUGAUUUGUGCACAGGAGCACUCUGAUGCUGGAACAUUAAAGAUACAUUACCUUAUUCAGGUAUAUUACAUUAUCAUCCUUUGACCAAAUGCCAUAUGAACGCAAGUAGAUAUA